This is a non-coding RNA of Potamilus streckersoni, 75 nucleotides long. Lineage: Eukaryota; Metazoa; Mollusca; Bivalvia; Unionida; Unionidae. The record is from the annotation of a GenBank genome assembly.
GGCUCUUGUGGCCUAGUGGUUAGAGCGUCCGACUCGGAUGUGGGAGGCAGUUGGUUCGACCCCCAAAUCGAGUCA